RNAcentral lists this ribosomal RNA (369 nucleotides) under uncultured Glomeromycotina. RNAcentral describes it as "LSU rRNA". The record is from RNAcentral. Lineage: Eukaryota; Fungi; Glomeromycota.
UUGAAAGGGAAACGAUUGAAGUCAGUCGUGCUGGCGCGAAAUCAACCUUCUCGUCUUGAGAUCACAUGGCGUGGCGAGCCUCAAAACCGUCACGAAGCGUGAACUCUUGGUGAAAUGGAGCACUUUCGUGUCCGCUGGUUAACAUCAAUUUCGAACGUCAUAAAAAGGCUGGAGGGAUGUGGCUCCUUCGGGAGUGUUAUAACCUUUAGCGGAAUGUGGUAUUCGGGAUUGAGGAUUGCAACGAAUACCUUUAGGGCUGUUCCACCUGGCUUCUCUUUGGUAUCCUGGUGACGACAGCUUGCUGACGUCGUUAGGAUCCGCCUUUGAACAGGUUAGAGUGUGAGCAAAUUCGUUAAGGAUGUUGACGUA